CAUGCAUACAUACAUACAUACACCCAACACACACACACACACACACACACACACACACACACACACACACACACACACACACACACACACACACACACACACAUACUGUAUGUUUGUCAUUUUAUGUUUCUUCUUAUUCACAACAUUGCUUUAAAACCAUGGAUUCCAUUGAUACUAUUUUUGAUAAGGAAAUGCUCUCUUUUUUUCACACUAACCUGGUCUGCCUUAACAAAACAAACCUUAAGAACAAACAAACAAAACCAUAAUAACAAAAAAAACAUACAAUUUACCUCAUGUUUUACCUGCACCUUUAGUGGCAGUGUGAGAUAGGAUGACUCAGGAAUUCUAGAACCAGAACCCUGAUGAUCCUUACUUCAGGUAUUCUACAACCCUGAUAAUCCUUCAGGUAUUCUAGAACCCUGAUAAUCCUUCAGGUAUUCUAGAACCCUGAUAAUCCUUCAGGUAUUCUAGAAUCCUGAUAAUCCUUCAGGUAUUCUAGAACCCUGAUAAUCCUUCAGGUAUUCUAGAACCCUGAUAAUCCUUACUUCAGGUAUUCUAAGAAUUCCGAAGACAUGUCGGCACUUUGUGGUCUGAUGCUGAUGCAAUAUCUCCUCACCAUUUCAAACUACCUCCGAUUUCCACCGCAACAACCUGAAAACUCCAAGCUCAAGGAAUGUACACUUCCCUGCUACACAGUACUGCACAGUACCACACAGUACUAAAUAGUAGUACACAGUACUACACAGUACUAAAUAGUACUACAUAGUACUACACAGUACUACAUAGUAUUACUACACACAACAACGCAUGGGAUGGCAGUGUGUGUGUGUGUGUCAACGAGCUAACUUGUUAUAAAAGUUGUUGUCUUGUGUCUCACAGUGGAACAGACAUGUUCUGUGUAAGUCUGACAGGUAAUUUACUGAAAUCAGGAGUUUUUUUUAUAUUUCCUAUGUAGAACUCAUAAGCAGCUAAUGGAAGAAGUACUGUGGUGUCUUUAUUUCACAUUAACAUUAGUGUUGUGUAUCUAUUUACAUUACCAUGAGUGUUGUGUAUCUAAGUCCUAACAAGACACCCACCUUUCCCUCUCCUCAACUGGGACUUCUGUUUGACAAACUGUUAACUUGAAUAUAUUUGUUUUUCUGAUUUACUCAAUGGUUUUUAUUAAGGAUCAAGUGCUUGUAUGACACUACCGAUAUUAUUGUUUUUGUUUGUUUUUGCUCUGAAUUCUUUUAUUUUUUGUUAUUUUUUUCUGAACUAUGUACUAUUCAUAUACAUUUAUGUACCUCAAACAAACUGAUAAAAAUGGACUUAUAAUCGAUUGACAAAUACCUACCUCCAGUCUUGAAAAGGAAUGAUUUUUGCCGGGUUUCUUUCAUUCAGUAUGAGUUUUGAUAAUGUAUGAUGAAAUCUAUCGAUAUUAGGACUGCAAAAGAUCCCUUACUCAAAAGUAUUUUUGUAACAGUUUUCAAAACUUCUGAACCAAGAAAAAUGUUGACUUCACCCUGCGGAAGAAAUAGCCUUCAAAAAAUAAUCUUGAAGAUUUUCAGGUUUUGAAAAAUAUAUGUUUGGGUUUUGUAUAUUGUAUUCAUGGAUUUUUUUUUUUUUUAAUUAGUAGAUAUUGAUAUACUUGAUUAGAUAUUUUGUGUACUUUACGACACGUGAUUUUCUUUUUCUUGUUGUUAUGGUUCAACCAGAUGUAUAUGAAAAUGCUUCUUAAGUAGUGAUGGAUUACAACUUUUAAAUGUUAACAUGGUAUAUUCUCAUACGGGCCUGAGGUAGAGAGCCUCAGAGAGUUAGCCAAACAACCCAACAUGCCCUCUCCACUCACACAGGCCUGAGGUAGAGAGCCUCAGAGAGUUAGCCAAACAACCCAACAUGCCCUCUCCACUCACACAGGCCUGAGGUAGAGAGCCUCAGAGAGUUAGCCAAACAACCCAACAUGCCCUCUCCACUCACACAGGCCUGAGGUAGGGAGCCUCAGAGAGUUAGCCAAACAACCCAACAUGCCCUCUCCACUCACACAGGCCUGAGGUAGAGAGCCUCAGAGAGUUAGCCAAACAACCCAACAUGCCCUCUCCACUCACACAGGCCUGAGGUAGAGAGCCUCAGAGAGUUAGCCAAACAACCCAACAUGCCCUCUCCACUCACACAGGCCUGAGGUAGAGAGCCUCAGAGAGUUAGCCAAACAACCCAACAUGCCCUCUCCACUCACACAGGCCUGCAAGCUGCAAUUCAAACUUAACAUCAGUCAGUUUUAAGCUGCUUUCAUGUGCUCUCUGAAUUAUAUUGACUGGGGAAAAAUUACGGAAUAGGAAAGGUCCCGGAAUCGUGCUAACAACAACCGUUCAUUUUGAGUUUCCGAGUCAGAAAUACGUGUGGGCACAAACUUAGGGAACAUCUUUGUACCCAAAGUUUCACAGUCGUAUACUUCCGAGUUUCUCAGUCAGAGACUUCCGAGUUUCUCAGUCAGAGACUUCCGAGUUUCUCAGUCAGAAACUUCCGUGUUUCUCAGUCGAAUACUUCCGAGUUUCUCAGUCAAAUACUUCCGAGUUUCUCAGUAGGAGACUUCAGAUUUUCUCAGUCGGAGACUUCCGAGUUUCUCAGUCAGAAACUUCCGAGUUUCUCAGUCAGAGACUUCCGAGUUUCUCAGUCGAAUACUUCCAAGUUUCUCAGUCGAAUACUUCCGAGUUUCUCAGGCGGAUACUUCCGAGUUUCUCAGUCAAAUACUUCUGAGUUUCUCAGUCGGAGACUUCCGAGUUUCUCAGUCGGAGACUUCCGAGUUUCUCAGUCGGAGACUUCCGAGUUUCUCAGUCAGAUGCAGACUUCAGAGUUUCCUAUUUUCCGAGGAAGGCAGCAUUAGUUUCUUCACACACUAUUACUGUCCAGAAUGUUCCUCGAACUGUAUCAUUGGGUGGGUUCAUCUGUGAUAACAACUCUUGAUAACUCUCAGGUACAUAACAAUCAAAACAGAGAACGUAGGUUGAUCAAGAACCCACCUAUUGUUGAUGAGGUGAAGCCAAAGUAUGCCUAUACUUUAUGUUGAUGCAGUUUGACAGCUGUCUUGGUUUUGAAACGGCUUCGUAGGCCUACCUGUGUGAGUUGGCGAUCACAUGUUGUAGCUUUGAAAAGCACGGCUUAGAAACAGAUAGACUUCACAGCUGAGAAGAACAAUGGCUUUGUCUAAAUACGUCACAAGCCAUCAAAUCCUUGCUUACUGCUUCCAUGUUUCCGUAAUUCUUCUCAAAUCUCAUUGGAGGUGUGGAUCUACGGUUCCUCCUCUCGAGAACUUCUCUUACCAAUGAACUUUGAGAGGAAUUGAGGAAACAAGGACAGUUGGGGGGAAGCAAGUAUGUGACGGCUAGUAAUGUUUUGAGACGCAGCCAUCGCCAGACUGUCCAUCAUCAGCAUGAAAAGCUAUAAGAGAUAAUAAAAAUAAAAAAACAUUUCCAAAAAGGGCUAAACACUGUGGUGCUCAUAGCUGACACUUAUUAUAUCAUAGGAGGUAAUGACGUUCCAAUGUUGGAGCUCCAAGAUCAUUGGACUAUAUUUCAUAAAUAUGUACUCGAGUUCUAAAGUGUAAGAGUAUAUAAAAAAAAAAAAAGAAUUGAAACAAUGUUUUUUUAUUUUUUAUUUUGGGAUGUUUUACCUCAUGUUGGUGUCAAUGUGUAACUAUGGAAACCACUGUUUUGUUGAUGUGCUUUGAGCUCUUGAGUCUUAAUGAAGAUGAUCCCGUUCUAGAACAGUCCCAAUACACAUUACUACCUCCAAGAAAAGGGCCUACUGUUACCUCAUUUUCAAACUAAACCUGCUCCCAAA
Salmo salar (Atlantic salmon) is the source of this 3816-nucleotide non-coding RNA. The record is from RefSeq and is a predicted model, not a curated record. Lineage: Eukaryota; Metazoa; Chordata; Actinopteri; Salmoniformes; Salmonidae.